UUUCUCUUCUCGUUAAGACUUGAGAGAUCCUUUUACUUCUCUGAAAAUCAUCAUUCACAGAUCAGUUCUCUCUCCUAUCAACAAUGGCGGCGGCGGGAUUUUUCUCCAAUACCAAAUACUCCGACAGCUUAACACUCGUCGGAAUUUCAAUCUGCACAGCUAUAGUAUGUGAGGCAAUUUCAUAUCUCCUUAUAUACCGCACUACUUCAUACAAAUCCCUCAAAUCUACAAUCGAUAAGGCUUCAAAAAAGCUCGAAACUAUGAAGACUCAGGAACCGGUUCCGUCUGUACUCACUAAGAAGUCGAAAACGAAGAAAAUUGAUCGGGUCGAAACUUCCUUGAAGGAGUCAACCCGGGAUCUCUCCCUUUUCAAAUUCAAAUCCGGAUUCGUCGUCGCCGUUGUGUUGUUUAUGGUUUUCGGAUUUCUUAACAGUCUUUUUGAAGGGAAAGUUGUUGCUAAAUUGCCGUUUAUACCUUUUCGUCUUGUUCAGAAGAUGAGUCACAGAGGGUUACCGGGUGAUGACAUGACGGAUUGUUCAAUGGCGUUUUUGUACUUCCUUUGUUCGAUUAGUAUCAGGACGAAUCUUCAGAAGUUCUUAGGGUUUUCACCUCCUCGUGGAUCUGCUGGAGCUGGGUUAUUCCCAAUGCCUGAUCCAAAGACCAAUUGAUAGAUCCAGCAGAACUGGGUAUUUGUUUUUCUUUUUUUUUUUGUCAUUGUUUAGAG
This 724-nucleotide unclassified non-coding RNA is filed under the name Hevea brasiliensis (rubber tree). Lineage: Eukaryota; Viridiplantae; Streptophyta; Magnoliopsida; Malpighiales; Euphorbiaceae. The record is from RNAcentral.